Molecule: ribosomal RNA, 1461 nt
Filed under: Klebsiella pneumoniae
Lineage: Bacteria; Pseudomonadati; Pseudomonadota; Gammaproteobacteria; Enterobacterales; Enterobacteriaceae
Description: bacterial SSU rRNA
Rfam family: Bacterial small subunit ribosomal RNA
Source: RNAcentral
CGCGAGGGGUACCGGUACAGGCGCAGCCUACCAUGCAAGUCGAGCGGUAGCACAGAGAGCUUGCUCUCGGGUGACGAGCGGCGGACGGGUGAGUAAUGUCUGGGAAACUGCCUGAUGGAGGGGGAUAACUACUGGAAACGGUAGCUAAUACCGCAUAACGUCGCAAGACCAAAGUGGGGGACCUUCGGGCCUCAUGCCAUCAGAUGUGCCCAGAUGGGAUUAGCUAGUAGGUGGGGUAACGGCUCACCUAGGCGACGAUCCCUAGCUGGUCUGAGAGGAUGACCAGCCACACUGGAACUGAGACACGGUCCAGACUCCUACGGGAGGCAGCAGUGGGGAAUAUUGCACAAUGGGCGCAAGCCUGAUGCAGCCAUGCCGCGUGUGUGAAGAAGGCCUUCGGGUUGUAAAGCACUUUCAGCGGGGAGGAAGGCGUUAAGGUUAAUAACCUUGUCGAUUGACGUUACCCGCAGAAGAAGCACCGGCUAACUCCGUGCCAGCAGCCGCGGUAAUACGGAGGGUGCAAGCGUUAAUCGGAAUUACUGGGCGUAAAGCGCACGCAGGCGGUCUGUCAAGUCGGAUGUGAAAUCCCCGGGCUCAACCUGGGAACUGCAUUCGAAACUGGCAGGCUAGAGUCUUGUAGAGGGGGGUAGAAUUCCAGGUGUAGCGGUGAAAUGCGUAGAGAUCUGGAGGAAUACCCGGUGGCGAAGGCGGCCCCCUGGACAAAGACUGACGCUCAGGUGCGAAAGCGUGGGGAGCAAACAGGAUUAGAUACCCUGGUAGUCCACGCCGUAAACGAUGUCGAUUUGGAGGUUGUGCCCUUGAGGCGUGGCUUCCGGAGCUAACGCGUUAAAUCGACCGCCUGGGGAGUACGGCCGCAAGGUUAAAACUCAAAUGAAUUGACGGGGGCCCGCACAAGCGGUGGAGCAUGUGGUUUAAUUCGAUGCAACGCGAAGAACCUUACCUGGUCUUGACAUCCACAGAACUUUCCAGAGAUGGAUUGGUGCCUUCGGGAACUGUGAGACAGGUGCUGCAUGGCUGUCGUCAGCUCGUGUUGUGAAAUGUUGGGUUAAGUCCCGCAACGAGCGCAACCCUUAUCCUUUGUUGCCAGCGGUUAGGCCGGGAACUCAAAGGAGACUGCCAGUGAUAAACUGGAGGAAGGUGGGGAUGACGUCAAGUCAUCAUGGCCCUUACGACCAGGGCUACACACGUGCUACAAUGGCAUAUACAAAGAGAAGCGACCUCGCGAGAGCAAGCGGACCUCAUAAAGUAUGUCGUAGUCCGGAUUGGAGUCUGCAACUCGACUCCAUGAAGUCGGAAUCGCUAGUAAUCGUAGAUCAGAAUGCUACGGUGAAUACGUUCCCGGGCCUUGUACACACCGCCCGUCACACCAUGGGAGUGGGUUGCAAAAGAAGUAGGUAGCUUAACCUUCGGGAGGGCGCUUACCACUUUUUAAUUACGUGA